Pelobates cultripes (western spadefoot toad) is the source of this 230-nucleotide non-coding RNA. NCBI's taxonomy places the organism in Eukaryota, Metazoa, Chordata, Amphibia, Anura, Pelobatidae. The record is from the annotation of a GenBank genome assembly.
CCGCUGUUCGUGCGUAAGAUGGCCACCGCCACGUGUUCGGAAUGCGAAUGGCGGCGCACACGAACCUUCCAUUAGCACCCUUUGCAACAUUGUUGCCUUCGUUAAUGAGGGACACACAACCACACCGGGGUGGUCCCUCAUUCGGUAUUUUACAGGCUUUCGUGUAAACCACAGUACAGGUAGUUAGUGAACCUAUUUACUGUUGAUUACUGCCUUAAUACUUAUACGGC